ACCACGCCUCCGCCUCGGCAAGCGCCCCCUCCCUAGCGGCAAUCUCCCUCGGCAAGCGCCCUCUCCCCCGCAGCAAUCUUGCCGCGCCCUCGCUCCACGACAAUCUUGGCAAUGUCCCUCGCUCCGCGCCAAUCUCGCUCGCUCCGCGGCGCCCCCAUGCUCGCCCUCCCCCACGGCCCCCACGGCAAUCUGCCUCCCCCAUAAGGGCACCAUCCCGAGCCCGCCCCAGCCGCCAUUCUCGCUUCGGGGCGCCGCGUCCGCGUCGAUUCAGUUUCCCUCGAGUUUCAGAAACCCCGCCCGCCAAUAGCCCUCGCGUCUGUAGAUCUCGCGUCCUCGAUGGAAAGUUCGCCUCCACGCCAUUCAUGGCGCCUUCCUCGGUCCCCUUCCCCAUGACCAUAUCACGCCAUUGUGGAAUCAUGGUAUUUGUCAUCUUCGUGGAAGUUGAAUAACCGCAUAUAAUUUCUAGGAGCACCCGGGCCACUGCCAGUCCGCCAUGCCCAAGCCACCGGCCGGCUUCGUGCUGAAUGAAUGGGGCAGGUGCAUCGCCGCUGCAUUCAAGUGCAUCUUCAUCAUCGUGCGGAGUUGGCCUGCCGCCGGCCACCAAUACCAUCGCCUCGGUCCACCCACCAGUUGCAACGCUGGUCCUGUGCUCUCACCAUUUGAUAGGGAGUGAGGGACGAUGGGAUCAGGUCGACCUAUGAUGGGCAUGCCUGCUCCGCCUCUCUGGCCCGAUCUCACAGUCAUCCCCAAAUUCCCAUGUACUACUCUUGCUAUCAAUCGGCUGAAGUUGUAUGAUGACUGUUGUUCAUUGAAUUUUCUUUCUGUCAAUCGACCCGAUUACUCUUAUUUCUGACUAAAAAAACUCAGACUCAAUGUCAUGAUAUUUGUCUUUGCAUUGGUUCUUUGUGAGGGGUUAUAUAUAAUUUGAGAAAUUUCAAGAUGUGAUGAUUACCAGGAGUCAGCAAAAAAGGUAUUGUUUUCAGGAAGAAUGUUCUUGUGAACAAUCAUCUUCACAGCUACCCCUUCCAUGCCCAUUAAGAAACAAGAAAGAAUCGCAACAUUUAGGUUCUCCAGAUUUUCUAAAGCUCAAUAAUUGGAAUUCAGUCCGAAUAUAUUCAUUGAACCAAAGAGAGGAUCCAUGUCGGACGUGGUGGCUUGGUAGAUGUGGAAAUUUUUCCAAUAGUGACCCAUUUUCCUUUCAUAAUUUUCAUUUCAUCACUACACAAAUUUCAUGGAUUGCUUACUGACUUUGGCCAAUAUAUUUUAGAUAUGUCCAUAGUUUUGUUUUUUUCAUCCCAUAUCUAAGCUUCAGUAAAACAAAGGUUGUGUUGUUGUGCAUAUAGAUUGCCUGGACAUAAUCAUACGAUAUUCAGGAAAAAAUAUUUCACAUAUUCAGAAGAAUUUGCUCUUGUUUCUUCAUGUUUCUUUUGCCUCCUUGACUCUUAGCAUUUGGUUUUCUGAUUUAUGCAGGUUCAGUACAAAGAAGAUAUCAAUUAUGAAGAGACUUCUUCAUGAAUUCAUGAGGAAACAAGCUCUUCACCUGCAGGUGUACACCGAGGAAAUCAGAGUGCAGAGCUCUGGUCUUUAUCUGCCACGGAUACGAAGCCGAGUGCAGCAUAUCCAUCGGAGAUGAUCAACAUCAUUGCGCCUAGCUGGAGAGUCAUCCCUGCAACAAACAUGAUCGACAAAAUCCGCAAAGACCCUCAGCUCAAGAAAAAGAUCUGUUUCAAUCCGUACAUGUACAGAGGAAACCUCGCACUGCAAAUAGGCUGCAAACUCCUUUCCGUCAGCCUAGACAUCAAGAAGAGCCUGCACGAGGUGAGAUCUUCGCCAUCUGUUAGGCCACCACAUGCAACAUUGGUAGCAUGAACGUUCCCGUUGGAUCGUCGACCAUGGGACUUCUACAGUAACAUCGGCACGGACGACGUCGUCACUGAUCGUUCCGGGAGCAAGCUGCUGCACAACCUGAAGAAGAUUUGUCUUUUUAAGAUGAAGGUUCUGAAGAACGUGAUCCAGGUCGAGGAGAUUUCUAAGGUCUUGGAAAUCAGCGGCGAGCGCAGCCUCAUCGAUAACUUCGUCUUCUCCUACCACGUGUAAUAAUCACGGCUAAUGUGACACUUUUGCAACAAUAUCAAUGCCGGACAACAUGCAUGCUCCUUGGGAGGAAUUAAGGGGAAGAUGAAGAACUAAAAAAAUUACCAGAAUCUAAUUUACGCACGCCAAGUCAGACCACCGUGAAAAACUCUAUCUCCACGUGACCAAUCUUCUCCAUUUUUCAGUUUGCAAGAUACUUUUUAUAUUGAUUAAAGUUCAAUACCAAUAACACUAAUGUGAGCUCACUGUGGUGUUCAUCUUUUUGCAUAAAUUUUAUGAAAAGAAAACAGAACUCUUUCUAUUUUGCCUUCUCUGCUAUAGUAAAGAUGUACCAUUUCAUGUUUA
Molecule: long non-coding RNA, 2439 nt
Organism: Zea mays
Lineage: Eukaryota; Viridiplantae; Streptophyta; Magnoliopsida; Poales; Poaceae
Exons: 8
Source: RefSeq, a predicted model, not a curated record